Molecule: transfer RNA, 73 nt
Filed under: Dermacentor silvarum
Lineage: Eukaryota; Metazoa; Arthropoda; Arachnida; Ixodida; Ixodidae
Description: transfer RNA tyrosine (anticodon GUA)
Rfam family: tRNA
About the family: Transfer RNA (tRNA) molecules are approximately 80 nucleotides in length. Their secondary structure includes four short double-helical elements and three loops (D, anti-codon, and T loops).
Source: RNAcentral
CCGUCGAUAGCUCGGUUGGUAGAGCGAUGGACUGUAGAUCCAUAGGUCGCUGCUUCGAAGCCGGCUCGACGGA